GCCUGCGCGCGGCCUCUCCUCAGGCGCGGCCUGUGCUGAGGGCACUGCCGACAGCGUUGGGACUUCGACCUGGCUAAAUCUGUGAUUCUCCACCAGGGUGCCAGGACACCCAGGGGUGCUGCAACGUCCUGUGAAGAGUGCCGCACGGUGUGAGGAGAUGCACAGGCCGGUGCCCCACCCUCACUGCUAGGCCCCGCACUGUAAUAAUCAUCGCCAGGUCUUCAAACGGGGGCCGCGCCAUUCAGAGGAGUUGUGGAGGGGAGCCUCACAUCUAAAAAGCCUGAGACGGGCUGUACUAAAUGAUGAGCCUCGUACACCAGAAACCUCUCAGAUUGAUUUUAUUAUUCAGAAGAAUCUGGAUUUAUCUUGUGAAUCAUUUUUGCACGCCCAGAAGUAUGUGGCUCUCCAAAGCACCCUCGAAAGUAUCUCGAGGCACCCUGGGGUGCCAGAGCGCUGGGUUCAGAAUCGUUGCGACGGUGAAAACACCCAUGCCGAUGGCUAGGAGUUAGAAGUGCCAAGUCCCGCUUCUGUUUCUGUGACUCACUCUUCAACACUCUCAAAUAUCUUGGGUCUUAUGUUAGAUUGUGUGAACGUUCAUUUCUCAAAGUAAUUUACAGUUUCAGUUCAUGUGCAAUUACAGUGCGCUUCCCAUGCAGCGAUGCAUUUCACACUUUGUAAUGCAUUCAAGCAGAUUGAGGCUCUUUGUUUAAUAAUAAACAGCUUACAUUUCUUUUCCAGUGGCAGCUCUGAUUUGGAGAUCUUUAAUGGCUGUGGCAAGGCUCCAAAGCAUCACUCUUAUUUGGCUGUUUCAUUUUACAGUGAUUUUGAUAUAGCAGGCAGGUCUUCAAAAAUACCAGAUUUGACUGAGGUGCGCUGUAUUGUUCUACAGUCUUACUGAGCAUUUACAUUGUGGUGCCUAGAAGCCACCAGGUUGAGGUGCCAAAUGUCAUAUAAACAUACAGUAAAUGACAACCUCUGUCCCAGAGAGCUGACACUAUAGAAAGCAGCAAAACAAUUCACAAUUCUCCUUGGAUUUAGCAUUUCGUUUCUUGAGAUAGCAACAAAUCUACUUCUGUCUUACGAGUCUGUUAACUUCUGUACUAAUCCAUUUUCAUUUCUUCAGAUAGCAACAAGUCUACUUGUGUCUUAUGAGUCUGUUAACUUCUGUACUAAUCCAUUUUAAUUUCUUCAGAUAGCAACAAGUCUACUUGUGUUUUACGAGUCUGUUAACUUCUGUACUAAUCCAGAAAGCAUUGGAUUUUCAGAGUUCAGUGUGUAUAGUCAGUAGAUGCAUAUCUUUUCUGAUGAGAAGGAAUGGCUUGCAGACUGGAUCCGGUGCAAAACUGAAGGAAGUUUGAUAUUUGAUAUUUCAAAACAAUGCAGGUAGCGUACUUCUCUCUUGUUUUUACUGAUAUUCAAAGUAGUGUAUCAGACACACUGAAGUGGAUAAUAGCACUACUAAAGUCUAGAGCAUUUUGAACAUGAAGGCCCCCCCAUAUUUACCCUCUCUGGUAAAUCAUACUUAUUUUAGUUUUUCACAAAGGGAAAAAGUGAGAUGCAGAGAAGCAAACUGACGAGGCAGAGAACGAGGUUGCACAGCACUGCUCAAGCACAGCCAGGAAGAAGAUACAGGAAAGUUGGGGUCUAGUACAAAGCUAUGAAGAACCAUUUUUUUACAUUAUAUGGAAACAAUGGAAAGUGUUGCAUUCAAGACAAUACAGCAGGAGUGACAAAUUCAACAGGCAGGUGACAGAGGAUUGUCAGCAGUCUGAAGUCGUGAUAAACAUACGGUACAAUAGCACUCAAGAUGUGGGACCAAGCUUGCAGUUGUAAUAUUUGCACUUUCUACACAUAAAAGCUUUCAUCCGCUCUGCAAUUGCUCGUGUGCCUGUCUGGAGAGCUUGCUUGACUUGGGGGGCACAGCAAUCCAGCCACACACAGCAAGCAUGAAGGACAAAGAUCAAACUGUCCUCUUAGGGUGUGUAAUGGUGGAAUGAAUGGAAAUUAA
Alligator sinensis (Chinese alligator) is the source of this 2008-nucleotide long non-coding RNA. RefSeq lists it as uncharacterized. NCBI's taxonomy places the organism in Eukaryota, Metazoa, Chordata, Crocodylia, Alligatoridae. The transcript is spliced from 3 exons. The record is from RefSeq and is a predicted model, not a curated record.